Long non-coding RNA from Nycticebus coucang (slow loris), 1096 nucleotides. RefSeq lists it as uncharacterized. Lineage: Eukaryota; Metazoa; Chordata; Mammalia; Primates; Lorisidae. The record is from RefSeq and is a predicted model, not a curated record. The transcript is spliced from 5 exons.
UGUCAAAUGGAAGCUUUCCAUGCAGUGGAAUCCACAGCAGCCCUCGGUGGCAUGUGGGGCUGCAAGCCAGAUAUACCUGAAAGCAAAUGCUUGCCUUGCUUUCUCUCUGCUUCAGAAUGAUGAUGCAGGGCUACCAAAGGGAAAUACUGAGAAUGUCAAGUCAAACAAAUCAUAGCUCUUCUCCCGUGGCUCCUUUGACCUUGUUCCAAGGUUUACUCUAAUAAAGGACCAAGUUAAAAAUACUUCACAACUCCCAUUCUGAAUUGAGAAGAAAGGGACUGCACUGAUUAAUAAACAGAGGUGUGAUAUAUUGUAAUUCUUUCUAAUUUCAUUGAAAUUUCCUGCUGCUUCUUGAGGAGUGGUCUGGAUAUCAUCAAUAUUUUUGCAUUAUUAUUAAUUUAAAGUAUUCACUGGAGAUUAUUUUUGAAGACUGGGAUCCAGGUAUAUCCUAGAUGAUCAAAAAUCAUUUUACAACAAAUACAUUUGCACCAGAAUGUUUAUUGCAGCCCAAUUCAUAAUUGCCAAGACGUGGAAACAGCUCAGGAACUCGUGGACUCACGAAUGGAUUAACAAAUUAUGGUAUGUGCACUGUGGAAUACUAUGCAGCCAUAAAAGGAUGGUGACUUCACAUCUUUUCUGUUUACCUGGAUGGAGCUGGAACAUAUUCUUCUUAGAAAAGUAUCUCAAGAAUGGGAAAAAAAGUAUCCAAUGUACUCAAUACUAAUACUACUAUGAAAUCAAUAUAUAAACACCUACACAUUCAUAUGAAUGGUAAAACAUAACUAUAGUCCAGAAAGUAGAAGGGAAGAGGAGAGAGAGGGGAGGAGAGUGGGAAGGCAGGAGGAGGGAGGGUAUUUGGGGGGACCUCACCUAACGUGCAUGAUGCAAUGGUACAUUUCAAAACUAUUAAGAAAAGAGUAUAAUUGUGAUGGAUGUGUUACUUAGUUCAAUGUAAGCAUUUCACAUUGUAUAUCAAAUCAGUACACUGAACCCCAUAAAUACAUCAAUGUACACAGUUAUUAUUUAAUAAAUUUUUUUUUAAACACAUAAAUCAUAGAAAUAUGUCAUGGCUGAAAUUCAAUGUGUUUAGUCUGUG